CAAUAGCGUAUAUUAAAGUUGUUGCAGUUAAAAAGCUCGUAGUUGAAUUUUUGCUUGCCGCCGAUGUCGGAACUUCCGUACGUUCGGCGGCGCGCAUCCUUGGGUGGAACCUGUGUGGCAUUAGGUUGUCGUGCAGGGGAUGCUCAUCGUUUACUGUGAAAAAAUUAGAGUGUUCAAAGCAGGCUUACGCCGUUGAAUAUAUUAGCAUGGAAUAAUAAGAUAGGACCUUGGUACUAUUUUGUUGGUUUGCGCACCGAGGUAAUGAUUAACAGGGACAGUUGGGGGUAUUCGUAUUCCAUUGUCAGAGGUGAAAUUCUUGGAUUUCUGGAAGACGAACUACUGCGAAAGCAUUUACCAAGGAUGUUUUCGUUAA
This 373-nucleotide ribosomal RNA is filed under the name uncultured eukaryote. RNAcentral describes it as "partial 18S ribosomal RNA". It matches the Rfam family "Eukaryotic small subunit ribosomal RNA", at positions 592 to 976 of the family's 1831-position model. The record is from RNAcentral.